CUCCCCACCUUUGUACCCAGCACAGAGUCAUGGGAUAAGGCCCUUCUCUCUGGCCUCCUCUCCAACCUGCAGUUCCCUGUCCAUCUUGGCCAAGUUCAUCUGAUCUGCAGAUGGGGAGCCUGCCUGGCACGAAUCCUAUGGUCCCUGCUUCCUUUGGGAAAUCAAGAGCAAAGCUCGCUCCCAACUCAUGGUGUUCCCCAAGCAGAAUAGAGGCCGGCUGUGUGCGUUGAAGAAAUGAAUGAAGUGAUCGGGAGCUGAGUGCCGGCGGAGACCGGCCCCCCUGGGCAUAUGUGAAAACCUGAGGACCCCACUGAACUUUCAAAAUCCAAAGAAGAGAAUCCUGAGGAAAGAUCUGUAUCAUUUGCUGGGGUGUAAGAUGUGCAAGGAUAUUAACAAUUUAACAAACACAUAUCAAAGGGAGGUAUAAGUACGAUUUUCCAUGAUAAUUUUCUAUUGGAAGCAUGAAUGAUACAUAGACAUAUAUUUUCUUGAUCUGGUUUAGUAAAGUAUUAUUAAUAUUAGAUAACCAAAUUCCUACUGUAACCCAGAGGGCUAAAUUGUAUGAACAAUGUUGUCUGAUGUCCUGGUUGCCAGGCACUGUGGACAGCCACCCCAAAGUCCUCCCCACCUCUUCUUCCUGGCCCUCUCCAGGCAGAUGGGAUGGAAACUCAGAACUUGACUGACAUUCCC
Molecule: long non-coding RNA, 690 nt
Filed under: Pan troglodytes (chimpanzee)
Lineage: Eukaryota; Metazoa; Chordata; Mammalia; Primates; Hominidae
Description: long non-coding RNA NONPTRT004176
Source: RNAcentral